CUUGUCAACAUUUUAUUUAUUAUUCAUAGACGACAUAGGAGAAUAAAGGGUUAAUACAACAGAGAAUUGUGCCACUUAAUUUAUUCAUAACUAGUACGUAGAUAUUAGUAGUACAUAUUAAUUAGUGCAGAUUUGGUGGCAAAUAACUCCGUCUCCCCUCUCAUAUUUAUGCUUAUUCACUUGUCUCCAGCUGCAUCUGUAGGAGCUCCCUCAGCCUCAGAUCCUUGUUUUGGCUUGGCUUCACCCUGCAGAUAUAUUAAGCUCCCUCAGAAUCUGCUUUUGUCAAUUUUUUCAGUCAUAAAUUGUGUCCAAAUUAAGAGUAAUUAUCUAAUGUCUUUGUUAAAAGAAGAUGAUACAGUUGUAGUUUCACCCAAGACAAAAAAAAAAACAACGAAAGAAGCUAAAUUUUUUGUCCUCUUAAGAGUAGAAUACAACAGGUAAGUUGUAACGUUAACACCCCCCCUUCUUUUUGUCGGAUAGCAUUGUUCAACUUCUUAAAAACUGGUCAUGCAUGUUUUAUAUGUAGUUACAUUUUUUUCUUUCUAUUUAUUCAAUCUCAAAAUGAGUUUUUGUUGAUCCAAAAUAUAUGAUUUUUUUCAAGGCCAUUAUGGUCCAUGCAGAUAAUUAAAUGGCGGUGUAGAAAACCCAAACUAUUUACAAGCUUGAAUAUAUUGUUUAUGUUUUCUGAAUUUGGGGGGUUCAACCUGGAGUGCAUCCUCACGAUUUUUCUCAAGAAUUUGGGUUAAAGACUUCAAUGCUUCUUCCUGAAAAAGAACUAAAACGUCAGCUGCGCUGUUAGUAUUAUAUAUACUAGUAUAUAUUUUCCAUGGUAAUACAAAAAAUAUAUAUAUAUAUAACGUCAGUUGUUGAACAUUAACGUUUCUAAAAUGCUAUAGCAAAGUGGGAAAAGAAAAGGCUGAUUAAACAAACCCUGGCAAGGGCGAGUUCAUGAGAAUUCAGUGAGAAACCAGAAGGCUUAAUGGACCCAUUUCUCUCUAGCUUUGGUGCAGCUGGGAGAGGUGGUUUUUGGUUUUCCAUUUUCCGGAAACCCCAAAAGGAAAAUAGUGAGAGAUGAAACUGCUUCUUUCUUUAUUUAUAGAAAGGUACGUUCUGG
Molecule: long non-coding RNA, 1114 nt
Filed under: Nicotiana tabacum (common tobacco)
Lineage: Eukaryota; Viridiplantae; Streptophyta; Magnoliopsida; Solanales; Solanaceae
Description: long non-coding RNA (NTAB_LNC014977)
Source: RNAcentral